This 71-nucleotide transfer RNA is filed under the name Patescibacteria group bacterium. RNAcentral's name for it is "tRNA-Gly". It matches the Rfam family "tRNA". From Rfam's summary of the family: Transfer RNA (tRNA) molecules are approximately 80 nucleotides in length. The record is from RNAcentral.
GCGGGAUUAGUUUAAUGGCAGAACGUCAGUUUUCCAAACUGAGAGCAGGGGUUCGAUUCCCCUAUCCCGCA